RNAcentral lists this ribosomal RNA (500 nucleotides) under uncultured bacterium. Its description in RNAcentral is "partial 16S ribosomal RNA". It matches the Rfam family "Bacterial small subunit ribosomal RNA", at positions 30 to 523 of the family's 1533-position model. The record is from RNAcentral.
AGUGAACGCUGGCGGCAGGCCUAACACAUGCAAGUCGAGCGGCAGCGCGGGGGCAACCCUGGCGGCGAGCGGCGGACGGGUGAGGAAUACAUCGGAAUCUACCCUGUCGUGGGGGAUAACGUAGGGAAACUUACGCUAAUACCGCAUACGACCUGAGGGUGAAAGUGGGGGACCGCAAGGCCUCACGCGACUGGAUGAGCCGAUGUCCGAUUAGCUAGUUGGCGGGGUAAAGGCCCACCAAGGCGACGAUCGGUAGCUGGUCUGAGAGGACGAUCAGCCACACUGGCACAGAGACACGGCCCAGACUCCGACGGGAGGCAGCAGUGGGGAAUAUUGGACAAUGGGGGCAACCCUGAUCCAGCCAUGCGGCGUGUGUGAAGAAGGCCUUCGGGUUGUAAAGCACUGUUGUUCGGGAAGAAAUCGGGCGGGCUAAUACCCGGUCCGGAUGACGGUACCGAAAGAAUAAGCACCGGCUAACUUCGUGCCAGCCGCCGCGGUAA